Molecule: ribosomal RNA, 490 nt
Filed under: uncultured bacterium
Lineage: Bacteria
Description: partial 16S ribosomal RNA
Rfam family: Bacterial small subunit ribosomal RNA
Source: RNAcentral
AUUGAACGCUGGCGGCAGGCCUAACACAUGCAAGUCGAACGGUAACAGGAAGACGCUUGCUUCUUUGCUGACGAGUGGCGGACGGGUGAGUAAUGUCUGGGAAACUGCCUGAUGGAGGGGGAUAACUACUGGAAACGGUAGCUAAUACCGCAUAACGUCGCAAGACCAAAGAGGGGGACCUUCGGGCCUCUUGCCAUCGGAUGUGCCCAGAUGGGAUUGGCUAGUAGGUGGGGUAACGGCUCACCUAGGCGACGAGCCCUAGCUGGUCUGAGAGGAUGACCAGCCACACUGGAACUGAGACACGAUCCAGACUCCUGCGGGAGGCAGCAGUGGGGAAUAUUGCACAAUGGGCGCAAGCCUGAUGCAGCCAUGCCGCGUGUAUGAAGAAGGCCUUCGGGUUGUAAAGUACUUUCAGCGGGGAGGAAGGGAGUAAAGUUAAUACCUAUGCUCAUUGACGUUACCCGCAGAAGAAGCACCGGCUAACUCCGUG